This 1404-nucleotide long non-coding RNA is filed under the name Gallus gallus (chicken). Its description in RNAcentral is "lncRNA (ENSGALG00010023640.1)". Lineage: Eukaryota; Metazoa; Chordata; Aves; Galliformes; Phasianidae. The record is from RNAcentral.
GCUUGGGAAUCUUACGGAAUACUUUUACUGGGUAUGCAGUAGCCAGAAAGAAAUAUCCAGAUGUGAAUACUUCAUGAAAAAGGUCUGAGUAAUGCACUAUUCAUUUUGAUUCUACCUCUGAGUUUUCAAUGUGGUCAAUAUUUUUUAAGUCAGAAGCUAACAUUAAACAACCUACAUUCAUGUUUUGAAAAGUCUACCGCAUGGAAAUCUUGCUACUUUAAUGAGGUAGCCACUCACAGAUUUAAAGAUUAAUGAUUUAAACACUCGUUACAUAGAUUUUGUUAUCAUUGGCACAAAUCAUUUUUUCCUCCGCAGUCCACUCAAAGUAAUGAUGACACGAUCUGCGUAACUUCCCAAUUAGGCGUCGGAGAAGUAACCUACUGCCCUGGCUCAGACAACUCAAAGGAGUUGAAGAGACUGUGUUAGCCCUGGAACUGGAAGUAGAAUUGGUCUGUGCUCUGCCUAGUAAAUCCUACUGUGGUUUAAAGAAAACAAAAACACUCACAAAACAAAACAAAACAAAAUAAAAUAAAAACAACCGAACAAAAAUACCCCAAAAAACACCACAACAAAAAAGCUAUGAGGCUCCCACUUCCCAGAGAGGCUUCUCAGAAAACAUAAAAGGAAAACUUCAGCACACAAACAUACUUGUGCCAAUGCUCUGUCUUAUGGGGCAAGUGGUGUGACGUGACCCAGGGAAGAAAAGGGAAAUGUCUCAAAUUGUGUGUAUGUGUCUGUGUGUGAGGGAGGGGAGGAAGCGAAAUCUUGUUGCCUGUUGGGUGUACUCCAGCCAGGAUGUGUCUACAUCACUCUCAGACUGGUGACAAGUUCAGAGAUGCAUUCUGUCUGGCUCAGCAUUGCCUCACCUUACCUUUGGUCCAGCACAGUGUGGAGCCCAGCACAAACUCAUUUUCUUCAGCUCCUUCAGCUGAGUUUUGCUUGUAUUCUGUCCUUCACUCUGUGCAAUCAAUACUGCUAGCCGUAUUCUGCGUAUCUAACUUUAAAUUUGGACAUAUCUCUAAGCUGUAUGGUAGUCAGUGGUACGGUUGUACAUUCAAAGUGACAAGAACACCUAUCUCUUAUUGCUUGUUGUGCUCAAAUCUCUCUGUGAGAACAGACUGCUACAAACAGGGAGCAGCCAGAGCUCUGCUGCCAUUCAUUGGGAUCGCCAAACCCUGCUGUGCCCACGGUCUGUCUGAAGUUCUAUGUUGUUUCCUGCCUUACUUCCUCUUCACUGCUUCCUGCAUCUUUGCGGUACGUGGUGAGCUAUGCAGCUAGUGCACUGGGUCAGUGCUGCAAGAUGCCCUGCAGAGUUUGGGGCACGACAAGAUGCUGUGCUUAAGUUAAGCCCUUCUUAUGAGAAGAAAGCGGGGCCACAAAGAGGGGAAGUGGCUUGCUCGAGGU